RNAcentral lists this ribosomal RNA (450 nucleotides) under uncultured bacterium. RNAcentral describes it as "partial 16S ribosomal RNA". It matches the Rfam family "Bacterial small subunit ribosomal RNA", at positions 338 to 795 of the family's 1533-position model. The record is from RNAcentral.
CCUACGGGGGGCUGCAGUAAGGAAUAUUGGUCAAUGGAGGAAACUCUGAACCAGCCAUCCCGCGUGAAGGAUGAAGGGGCUCUGCCUUGUAAACUUCUUUUGUCUGGGGCGAAAAAGCUCGAUUUAUCGAGAACUGACGGUACCAGAAGAAUAAGCACCGGCUAACUCCGUGCCAGCAGCCGCGGUAAUACGGAGGGUGCCAGCGUUAUCGGGUAUCACUGGGUCUAAGGGGUCUGAAGGAGUCAGUGGUGAAAGGCUUUGGCUUAACCAUGGAAUUGCCAUUGAUACUGCAGAGCUUGAAUGAGGUUGAGGUUGGCGGAAUGUGACAUGUAGCGGUGAAAUGCUUAGAUAUGUCAUGGAACACCGAUUGCGAAGGCAGCUGACUGGACCUAUAUUGACGCUGAGGCACGAAAGCGUGGGGAGCGAACAGGAUUAGAUACCCCGGUAGUC